UGCUAUGCUAAGAGCUCUGGAUACCGAUUGCGGGCAGGGGCAAGGUGCCCUGGCUCCUCGGUGGGUCCUUUGAACACAGAUCACGUGGUCUCUGAUUCGCAAUUCAGGGAGUCCCCACCUGCUGUCAUUAAAAAUAUGUAUGUUGCCGACCUUAUUUCUUAGAGCAGUUUCCAGUUUACAGAAAAACUGGGCAGAAAGUACAGAGAGUUCUCCUAUACCCUCUCACCUUACCCCCCCGCCCCAGUUUCCGCGUCAUUCACACCUUGCACUAGUGUGGUAUAUUUGUUAAAAUUGGUGAAUGCAUAUUGAUACGUUAUUAAUACCCUGUAAUUUACAGUCAGACUCCUACAGUUUUAUGGGUUUUGACCAACGCAGAAUGCCAUGUAUCCACAAUUACUAGCAUCAUGAAAGAUAGUUCCACUGUUCUAAAAAAUCCCCCCUGCUCUCCCUAUUCAUCCCUCCCCUCCCGGCAAUCCCUGGCAACCACCUAUGUUUUUACUGUCCAUAGUUUUGCCUCUCCCAGAGUGUCAUACAGUUGGAAGCAUACUGUAUAUAGCCUUUUCAGGUCAGCGUCUUUCACUUAGCUAUAGUCACUUAAGGUCCUUCCAUGUCUUUUUGUGGCUUGACAGCUCAUUUCUUUUUUAAUCACUGAAUAAUAUUCCAUGGUAUGGGCUUGCUGUCGUUUCUAUUUAGACUUGGUGUUGGCAUUCCCAAUAACUGCAUCUUCCAGCAAGAAGAGGAGAGAGAAAUUAAGAGUGCACAUACCUUGAUGAGCACCAAGUAUUGUAUAGAAUUGUUGAAUCACUACACAGGACACCCGAAACUAACAUGACACUGUAUGUUAACUACACUAGAAUUUAAAAAAAAAAGGGGGGGGGGGGAAGAGAGGAGCAGCAGGUCAGGCCUUUGCUAGAAAGCUUCCCCCAGUCUCUGGUAGCACUACACAAUUUUCUCCAUUCCUCAUCCUGCCAUUGAUUCAGUCUCACUGAUGAUACUUGUGGUACGUAUUUGUAACUAUCUUACACCCUCAACGUUUGAAAUUCCUUUCCAUUUUGGGGGGAUCCAGAGCUGUGCAUGGCUGGUGGAAACCAGGAUGUAACUAUACUACAAAAGGCAAAAGUACCAGACUUUGCCCUCCCACAAACCCCAGCAGGGCUUAGCCGAUCCCAUGCACGUGAUGGAGACUUGGGACAUGGAAUGAGGUACACACAAGCAGGAAGAGUCUGGAAUUUACUCCGGGGGGGGCACUGCUCUGGCAUUGGCAGCGGGGCUGAUGGCUGCAGCUGGUGCACAGUGGGGGCAUUAUCAGCCCCCUAACCAGGAUGCUGUUUGGAGCAAUUGGAAUGCACCAUGAUGACAUCCUUGGACUGACCCAGUGGAUGAGGAACAGAAGCUUUGUAAGAAAAAUCCAUCUGGGUGUGCAGAAAUGCAAAAACUCUUCCAAAAAAUAAGACCAUUGGAGUCACCAAAAUGAGCUAGUUCUGUAUCCCGCUCUUGCAGAUGAGUCUGAAGAAUGUUCCAGCUGCAAACCUCAAUGUGGUCAAUGCCAGUGCCUACAGCCAGGGGCUGAGGGAAGGAGGAGGUUGUAAGUGGAGCUGUUGUGUCCCCCACUUGGAAACCCCUCUGAGGAGAGAAGAGAUGGAUCCCGACCCCUCGGUUUCACCUCCUGUGUUUCUCCAACACUCAAGUGGGCUCCACCACCCAAGCCUCUCUGGUGGCUUCAGGGACUUAUGUUGUGUGCUGAUAACGGAAGACAAAGAAAAUUUGCAACCCGGGGUGUCAGACAGAGAGCUUUUUGCCGGCUUGUCAAGUUAGACAAAGUCUGACCGCGCUGUCCUCAGUGGCCGUUUCUCUGCCGCAUUUUCCUGCCGUCUAGCAUAAAGAGAUUGAGGCUUUCUUGCUGUCAACUAAUUUAUUGUGAGAACCUGUUUUUAGCCCAUCUAACGCAUAGAGUUUUGCUGUUGAUACAGGCCUAGAGGAUCGUGAAAUGUGUUUUAGGGAGUCGGGAGAAAGGUCAUUGAAGAUGAUUGAAGAUUGGUGUGGGGCCCCUGGGUGGCUCAGUCAGUUAAGCGUCUGACUUCAGCUCAGGGCGUGAUCUCACCGGGUGUGAGUUCGAGCCCCGCGUUGGGCUCUGUGCUGACAGCUCGGAGCCAGGAGCCUGCUUCAGAUUCUGCGUGUGUCUCUCUCUCUGCCCGUCCCCACUCGCACUCUGCCCCUUUCUCGCUCAGAAAUAAACAAACAGCAAAAAAUAUAUAUUAAAAAAAAAAGAUGAUUGGUGUAAGGGAUCAUAGAAAUCAUGACAGAUUUCCGAAUUCCACGCGGGGAUCUCGGGACUCACGGCGAAUUCUGGGAUUGUCUACCAAAAUGCUCAGCGGCUUGUCCUCCAGACCACAGGAAGCCAUUACAUUCUUCAGUUUUGAGACGGGUGAUAUAUAAUUCACCGGUCCCUCAUGCAGAAGUUUACUUUGAAGGUUUGAGGAGGACAUACCACUGGCUUUAAUGGUUCCUCAAGCUAACCGUGCACUUGGACAGGUAGAGAAUUCAUCCUCUACAAACUCUCUCGGCCCCAGGAGAGCCUGCUGUCUGAGCCACAGAUCCUGGUGCUUUGGCUUGGAAAGAGAAGACCACUCCCCCCCUCCCGUGCACAGAGAUUGCCCGGAUUAAAAAGGGGGAGGACUGAGGAAACUGAGGCAGAGACAGUUAACAUCUCUGGAAGACACCGUCAACGUCGCCUUCCGAUGAUGUAUACUUAGGGCUGAAUGGGAGGAGGUCCAGAACGCAAGGUGCUGGGCACACAGAGUGGGGAUGAGGCAGCCUGGGUCUAAGAAGGCUUCCUGGAAGCUAGCUAAGGCUGGUUCUCAACUCCGAGGAGCUCUCACCCUAACUGGGCUCCAGCCCAGAUACUCUGACUUCAUUGCUCUGGGGUGAGGCCUGGAAAAUGGCAUUCUUAUAGACUCCUCAGUGAGUCCCAGCUCUAUUUUGAGGUAAGAACCCCCAACUUUGGUAUGAUGCUUCACCAGUUUGCUGGUUCCAGGGAAGAAAAACAACUUUCCGUUGACAUCUAAUAAGGAAGAGGAAGUUUUAAAAAAAAAAUGCAGCACCAAUAUAAAUUAGGAAUAAAUAAGGGGGCACCCGGAUUUGAACCGGGGACCUCUUGAUCUGCAGUCAAAUGCUCUACCCCUGAGCUAUACCCCCUUCUGUUGUGGCCUGGCUUAAUUAAUAUUCUUCGUCUGGACAGCCAUACCCAGACUCCGUGUAAAGCGAUGAGCAGCCGGGACAGACCGCUCUCUCCGUCAAA
This is a long non-coding RNA of Neofelis nebulosa (Clouded leopard), 3298 nucleotides long. RefSeq lists it as uncharacterized. The transcript is spliced from 5 exons. Lineage: Eukaryota; Metazoa; Chordata; Mammalia; Carnivora; Felidae. The record is from RefSeq and is a predicted model, not a curated record.